GACAAUGGUUUGCAAGGAGGCGUAUAUACCAUGACUUGUAAGCGAACAUCGGAGAACUUCUGAGUUGUAUGGUCGUCGUGGUCACUUGGGGGAAGCUAUCUACUUAGGCCAACGAUGCUGUCAUCAUUCAAAACCUUUUCUGGAACUUCUCCUUGGACUGUUGUUAAUAAGUCUCCUCACACACUUUCCCGUCUUCAGGUGGUGAUUACAUGCUAAUCAUCCAGGGCAGACGUGAUUAUAUAAAUGAUCCCCAAGUGCUUGACAGCCGGAGCUUUGGACUCUAAGCUCAGGACCUUCCUUUAUCGUUUGUCUCCAAAACCCCGAAGCGGUGCUCUCCUUGUCCCAAUCAGCACUUUUCCAGUGUUUCCCACCUCUUUCUUUACCCAGCUCCAGAAUCAUCCUUGAUCCCCCGCCCCCCUCACUCUCACCUUCCUUUACCCACUUCUCAGCAAGCCCUGUUCGUUUUGCCUCCUGCAUGUCCCCCUGGCCCGCCUACUUCCUCUCCACCUACGGAACACGGCCCAGUCCCGCCGCCCUCAUCCCCUGCUCAGACCCUGGUAGAGCCUCUGAGGCAGUCUCUGUUCACAGCCAUCCGGCCUUCUCUCUACGCUGCUGACCGCGAUCUUUCCAGAUCUCAAGCCCAACCAGGUCCCACCACACACCACUUCCAUUCCUGCUUAAAACCUCUCAAUGUGGUGACAGUGGCAUAGGUCCACAUUCCUCUGCCGAGUCACGCUGCGGCCCCUGCCGGCAGGAAUUGGGGGCUGUCCCCCUAGCCCUUGAAUCUGGGCUCACCUGGUGACUUGCCUGGACCGACAGAACAGGGCAGAAGUGAUGUUGUGGGAGUUCUGGGGCAUGGUCCUUCAGGGGCCUUGCAGCCUUCGCCUUCACCCCUUCGGCUCCCGAGUCUGUUACGUCAGGGAACUUGCCAGCAGAUGAGGCUACACGGACACAACAGCCAGAUGUGCCAGUGAGGCCAGCUGACUUGCCCACUCGGCCGACCUGCCAGCCGCCUGCAGCCACACCCCUCUGGCUUUGACCUUGGGCAUGCACGUCCCUUUCUGCCACGAAGCUUCUGGGUGUGCGAUUCCCUUACUGGGCUUUACUCGGUUAGCCCCCACUCGUCCUCCAGCGCCAAGCCUCACCUUGUCAAAUCCGCCGUGGGCUCGGGUGGCACCACGUGCUUGCCUCGGGACUUUGGACAACAGAGAUGUGUGUCUUUUGGGGGGUGACUUGUUUGCCCCUCCCAUCUGUAAAGUCCAUGCAGGCUAUUCUGGGUGUGAUUCUGUUUCCCACCGUAUCCCUGUGCCCUACCUUAGUGGGACUCAAUAAAUAAACAAAUAAAUUCGUGAA
Long non-coding RNA from Suricata suricatta (meerkat), 1353 nucleotides. RefSeq lists it as uncharacterized. NCBI's taxonomy places the organism in Eukaryota, Metazoa, Chordata, Mammalia, Carnivora, Herpestidae. The transcript is spliced from 2 exons. The record is from RefSeq and is a predicted model, not a curated record.